RNAcentral lists this ribosomal RNA (429 nucleotides) under Chloroflexota bacterium. RNAcentral describes it as "Chloroflexi bacterium partial 16S ribosomal RNA". It matches the Rfam family "Bacterial small subunit ribosomal RNA", at positions 355 to 776 of the family's 1533-position model. Lineage: Bacteria; Bacillati; Chloroflexota. The record is from RNAcentral.
UGGGGAAUAUUGCACAAUGGGCGCAAGCCUGAUGCAGCCAUGCUGCGUGUGUGAAGAAGGCCUUCGGGUUGUAAAGCACUUUCAGCGGGGAGGAAGGCGUUAAGGUUAAUAACCUUGGCGAUUGACGUUACCCGCAGAAGAAGCACCGGCUAACUCCGUGCCAGCAGCCGCGGUAAUACGGAGGGUGCAAGCGUUAAUCGGAAUUACUGGGCGUAAAGCGCACGCAGGCGGUCUGUCAAGUCGGAUGUGAAAUCCCCGGGCUCAACCUGGGAACUGCAUUCGAAACUGGCAGGCUAGAGUCUUGUAGAGGGGGGUAGAAUUCCAGGUGUAGCGGUGAAAUGCGUAGAGAUCUGGAGGAAUACCGGUGGCGAAGGCGGCCCCCUGGACAAAGACUGACGCUCAGGUGCGAAAGCGUGGGGAGCAAACAGG